UACCAGCACCCCGAGUGGUCGGGACGAUUAUUGGGCCUAAAGCAUCCGUAGCCGGUCCUGCAAGUCUUCCGUUAAAUCCAGCUGCUCAACAGAUGGGCUGCGGGGGAUACUACAGGGCUAGGAGGCGGGAGAGGCAAGCGGUACUUUAUGGGUAGGGGUAAAAUCCGUUGAUCCAUAGAAGACCACCAGUGGCGAAGGCGGCUUGCCAGAACGCGCUCGACGGUGAGGGAUGAAAGCUGGGGGAGCAAACGGG
This 253-nucleotide ribosomal RNA is filed under the name uncultured bacterium. Its description in RNAcentral is "partial 16S ribosomal RNA". It matches the Rfam family "Archaeal small subunit ribosomal RNA", at positions 474 to 727 of the family's 1478-position model. The record is from RNAcentral.